RNAcentral lists this ribosomal RNA (497 nucleotides) under uncultured bacterium. RNAcentral describes it as "partial 16S ribosomal RNA". It matches the Rfam family "Bacterial small subunit ribosomal RNA", at positions 28 to 507 of the family's 1533-position model. The record is from RNAcentral.
GAUGAACGCUGGCGGCGUGCUUAACACAUGCAAGUCGAGCGGACGGACGCUACUCUUGCUUUUCUGUUGUUAGCGGCGGACGUGAGAGUCACACGUGUAUAACCUACCUGUAAGACGGGUAAAGCUUCGAAAAACGGGAUCUUAUACCGUAUGAUAUUUUGAACCGCGGUGGGCGAAGGUAAAAGACGGUCUUGGUGUCACGUCUAGAUGGAUACGCGCUUCAUUAGGUAGUUGUUAAGGUAAAGGCUUACCAAGGCAACGAGGCAUGGCCGGCCUGCGGGGGGGAUCGUCCACACUGGAAGUGAGACACGGUCCAGACUCCUACGGGAGGCAGCAGUAUGCAACCGUCCGCAACGGGCGAAAGCCUGACGGAGUAAGGCCGCGUGAGUGAUGAAGGUCCUCGGAUCGUAAAACUGUGUUUUUGGGGAAGAACAUAUUUGUAAGGAACCGUGCUCAUCUUGACGGUACCUAAUAAGAAAGCCACGGCUAACUACGUG